RNAcentral lists this unclassified non-coding RNA (306 nucleotides) under plant metagenome. RNAcentral describes it as "partial contains 5.8S ribosomal RNA, internal transcribed spacer 2, and large subunit ribosomal RNA". The stretch from base 1 to 105 matches the Rfam family "5.8S ribosomal RNA", at positions 50 to 154 of the family's 154-position model. The record is from RNAcentral.
GAAAUGCGAUAAGUAAUGUGAAUUGCAGAAUUCAGUGAAUCAUCGAAUCUUUGAACGCACAUUGCGCCCGCCAGCACUCUGGCGGGCAUGCCUGUCCGAGCGUCAUUUCAACCAUCAAGCCCCCGGGCUUGUGUUGGGGACCUGCGGCUGCCCGCAGGCCCUGAAAACCAGUGGCGGGCUCGCUGUCACACCGAGCGUAGUAGCAAUCACCUCGCUCAGGGCGUGCUGCGGGUUCCGGCCGUUAAACAGCCUUACAAAACCCAAGGUUGACCUCGGAUCAGGUAGGAAGACCCGCUGAACUUAAGC